GACGAACGCUGGCGGCGUGCUUAACACAUGCAAGUCGAACGGAAAGGCCCUGCUUGCCGGGUACUCGAGUGGCGAACGGGUGAGUAACACGUGGGUGAUCUGCCCUGCACUUCGUGAUAAGCCUGGGGAACUGGGUCUCAUACCGGAUAGGAGCCGUUUUUAGCGUGUUGGUUGGAAAGUUUUUUCGGUGUAGGAUGAGCUCUCGGCCUAUCAGCAUGUUGGUGGGGUAAUGGCCUACCAAGGCGGCGACGGGUAGCCGGCCUGAGAGGGUGGACGGCCACAUUGGGACUGAGAUACGGCCCAGACGCCUACGGGAGGCAGCAGUGGGGAAUAUUGCACAAGGGGCGCGAGCCUGAUGCAGCGACGCCGCGUGGGGGAUGACGGCCUUCGGGUUGGAAACUCCUUUCGCUAGGGACGGAGCUUUUUGUGGCGGUACCUAGAUAAGAAGCACCGGCUAACUACGUG
RNAcentral lists this ribosomal RNA (465 nucleotides) under uncultured bacterium. RNAcentral's name for it is "partial 16S ribosomal RNA". It matches the Rfam family "Bacterial small subunit ribosomal RNA", at positions 28 to 507 of the family's 1533-position model. The record is from RNAcentral.